UGGGCGUGGAUCCUUCUUGGGCAUCCUACCUACUAGUGUGAGGUGUCACAUCAUCACAUCUUAUCCCUUGAUUGAUUGUGUAUGUGAAGCCAAUUGGAUUGGAGUUCAUCCUGCUUUUUUGUGGCAUCUAACGUGCAUGCGAAGUAGAGGGUCCGCAUAUCCAGGCCUCCGUGAAGGUUUAUAUCAGAUAAUUUGAGAUUUGAUCUCUAGUUCCAUCAUGAUUCAGGUAAGAAUUUGAUCCUUAAAUAAGUAGAAUAUUAAAAAAAAAUUUUAGAUGCAACCUGAGCAUUCUGGAGGAAAACUGUUUCCUUCCCUUCAUGUGAUCCAUUGAGCUCCAAUCUAGCCAGCAGUGGAUCCAGACUUUCGACGUAAUCCUAAUCCGAUCAGAUUAGGUCACCCGAAGAGUCCCAAUCAACUAAGACUCUUCCUAAUUGAUUCUUGAAUUAAACUCUUUUAAUUCUGAUGAGUCCACAAGUCAAGAUUGAUAUUUAGUAACGUAUCAUGACUACCC
This 511-nucleotide long non-coding RNA is filed under the name Elaeis guineensis (African oil palm). Its description in RNAcentral is "long non-coding RNA (EGUI_LNC061031)". Lineage: Eukaryota; Viridiplantae; Streptophyta; Magnoliopsida; Arecales; Arecaceae. The record is from RNAcentral.